Molecule: long non-coding RNA, 206 nt
Filed under: Lathyrus oleraceus (garden pea)
Lineage: Eukaryota; Viridiplantae; Streptophyta; Magnoliopsida; Fabales; Fabaceae
Description: Pisum sativum (pea) long non-coding RNA (PSAT_LNC014670)
Source: RNAcentral
ACAUAAGUCAUUCUAACACCAACAUAAAAUAAUAAUAAAAUAUUUUAACUUAAUAAAAAUAAAUAAACAAAAAAUUAGGGAGCUACAACUCUCCCCCACUUAAGGAAUAUUUGCCCUCGAAAUUUACCUAAAGGAAACUGCUCCGAAUAAGAUUCAUUCAUCCAACUCUCUAGCUCCCACGUCACACUUUCUCCAGCAGAUCCUCC